RNAcentral lists this transfer RNA (65 nucleotides) under Eucnemidae sp. 4 ACP-2013. RNAcentral describes it as "tRNA-Phe". Lineage: Eukaryota; Metazoa; Arthropoda; Insecta; Coleoptera; Eucnemidae. The record is from RNAcentral.
UUUAAAUAGCUUAUAUUAGAGCUUAAUAUUGAAGAUAUUAGUGAGAAAUUUAUUUCUUUAAAUAU